ACAGCUCAAAUUUGAAAGCUGGCCCCCCCCGGGGGUCCGCGUUGUAAUUUGUAGAGGAUGAUUCGGCGAGGGCUCCCGCCUAAGUCCCCUGGAACGGGGCGUCAUAGAGGGUGAGAAUCCCGUAUGCGGUGGGCUGCCUUAGCCAUGUGAAUCUCCUUCGACGAGUCGAGUUGUUUGGGAAUGCAGCUCUAAAUGGGAGGUAAAUUUCUUCUAAAGCUAAAUACCGGCCAGAGACCGAUAGCGCACAAGUAGAGUGAUCGAAAGAUGAAAAGCACUUUGGAAAGAGAGUUAAAAAGUACGUGAAAUUGUUGAAAGGGAAGCGCUUGCAGCCAGACUUGCCCGCAGUUGCUCAGCCGGUCUCCUGACCGGCGCACUCUUCUGCGGCCAGGCCAGCAUCAGUUCGGGCGGUCGGAUAAAGGCCCCGGGAACGUAGCUCCUCUCGGGGAGUGUUAUAGCCCGGGGUGGAAUGCGGCCAGCCUGGACUGAGGAUCUCGCUUCGGCUAGGAUGCUGGCGUAAUGGCUGUAAGCG
RNAcentral lists this ribosomal RNA (529 nucleotides) under Neoscytalidium dimidiatum. Its description in RNAcentral is "LSU rRNA". It matches the Rfam family "Eukaryotic large subunit ribosomal RNA", at positions 104 to 646 of the family's 3401-position model. Lineage: Eukaryota; Fungi; Ascomycota; Dothideomycetes; Botryosphaeriales; Botryosphaeriaceae. The record is from RNAcentral.